UGUUAUCAAUAUAAGUCCAAACUUUCUUUCUUAUUUUGCUAUGAACUUAAUGAACUGAAGUUUACAGUGUUAAUUUUAUUUAGUUUUUGUUAUUUUAAUUCCUGUUGGUAGCUUGUAAUUUUAUUUGAAUUAAAGUUACUAUAAUGCCUGUGGAAUCUAAAUCACAUUUGUUUUGCAGGAUAAGCUCGGAGCAGAAAUGCUGCAGACUGUGCACUUGUUCUGGAUGCCAUUCGAGGAAAGGAUCCUGGUGAUCUCUCAUCAAGAGAUGUUCCCCUUGAUGAUCCAUUUUCUGUUGACAUUAAAAGGCUUACUGUUGGAUAUACAGAUGAUGCCGAAAUGGAGGUUGUUCAUGUUCUCGUAUCAAAGGGCGUGAACGUGGACGUUCCUUUUAAAUUGAACUACACCGUCGACUCUGUUCAAGGUAUCUUAAAUGUCACCAUGGACGUUGAGAUGUUGGCUCACUUUGAUGAGUGGCAACGCACCAGACAAGAUGACCUUUAUGAAGAAGCUUAAGACCAAUGGCCAACCGAAUUGCUCCAUGCACGCGUGAUUCCAGCAGUUGAUUAUGUGCAGGUUGGUCCAUGGCAUGACAAAGCAAAUGGCUGUCGGGCAGUCCUUCCAUGGGCCUUUGGUAAGUUCUGCAAUGCAUCAGAAGUCGUAGCAUAGGCCAGUAACGGUCGUUAUGAGCAAUGCUGAGAACAUUGCUCAAUCUGGAGAAUGUUGGCAAGAUUCAACCUAAUACUUAUUUUGAGACAUGCCAUAUAUUCAGAUUUAGAUGAUCUUUUCCACGGGCACAGAGGGCUCGGGGAAAAUUAAAUUCGAGAAGUGAAAGAAAGUUUCACUGUCGAUGCGUUCAUUGGAAAUGCAACUGACUGAGAGAAAGUUUGCCUGGGAAAUAUUGGUGGUCUUCCAGUAAUUGCUGUUCCAACUGGCUUUAAAAGUAUAGCCAAUCCACCCUCAGAGGGUACUCAGAGAAGAACCACCAUCACCACUGGCAUCUACGCUCGUCCUAACCAUGAACACGUUGCUCUAGCAUUAGUAAUGGCGUACCAAUCAGUCACCGAUCACCAUAAGCAACACCCACCUAUCGAUAAUCUUGGGCCAAAUGACAGUAUACCAGAUCCACCAACACUUAUCAUCCGUCCCAGAAGGCGGCAUCACUGAAAGCUUUUUAAUCAAGAUCUUUUGUAUCCUGACAUUAUUGUUGUGCGGCAGUUAUUGUGGGAGGGCAAUGAAACCGCAGUGGAUGAAGCAGAAAGGUUUUAUAAAAAAGUAAAAAUAAUACAAGUGGUUAGAGAUUGCAUCUUUUCCGCUUUAAAUUCAUCCUUUUCUUGGAAAAUUUGCAUAUAAAAAGACAAGUACUUUCGUUAGGUUUCUGGAAAUGAUACAGCAGAACUUCUGGCAAAGAAGCCUACACAGUAGCGAGCAGGAUUCUAUGAGCAAAGCAAUGUCUUGCUGCCUGUUCUGAUGUGACAUUAAAAUACAAGAUUGCUAAAAUUAUGUCCUGGACUGAUGCAUA
This is a long non-coding RNA of Populus trichocarpa (black cottonwood), 1519 nucleotides long. RefSeq lists it as uncharacterized. The record is from RefSeq and is a predicted model, not a curated record. NCBI's taxonomy places the organism in Eukaryota, Viridiplantae, Streptophyta, Magnoliopsida, Malpighiales, Salicaceae. The transcript is spliced from 4 exons.